AUGGCUCGCAAAAGGCUUAAUGUUGCCCAAAAACGCGUGUUGAAGAAGGCAGCGAGCAAAAAUGCAUGUUUCGUGGUGCAGUCGCUUUCGGAAUUAAAGGUAAAUAUUCCAGAAAUACGCCGCUAAUACUCUAUGCCCAAGGAAGUCAAGGAAAUUUCCUUUACGAAAAGCAUCAACUUGGAAUCGAAUGCAUCCGGCAAGGAAACGAUGUCGGUUCCUACCUAUAACUUCGACCAUCAUUCUGAUGACGAAGACGUCGAUAUGAGCGAAAAACCACCGUUACCGACAUCGCAAAUCACCCGCACUUACCGUCGAAAGAAAUCCGUUGACCAACUGCUACAGGACUGGGAAACUACAACUGCCCCAUGCGAACCCAGCUGCAGUAAUCCUGGACCCUCCAUUCAGAUUGUCCACAUCGAGUCACUCUACGAACAGACCAAUGAAGCUGCUGGAUCAGCUGUUAAUGAAGCGGCUGAUAUCGUCAUUCUGAACCCUCAAACAGAAUGCUCGUGUGGAAAAUCUGAGGACGUUGAUAAAUACAAAGCAUUGGCGGAAUCUCUGCAGAAGGAUAAAGAUGGUUUAAUUUUGAAGAACGCCAAACUGGAGGCCCAAAAUGCGAAGCUGCUGGAUUCGUUGACUUCAAAACUUCUACCGACGCCAGAGAAGCCGUUCAAGGAAGAGGAAGGUUUCAUCGACGGUGAUGCGCUGCAGCGAAUGUCACACGAAGCCGGCGACAAGGAUUAUUUGUUCCUGAAGUUCACCAUGAUGAAGCUUUUUCCAGAAGGACUCGUUGGGCGUUCAGUAACGGGACGUGCGUCGAAUAACCCUUCCGGUCGCCCGAAGAAAAUCGGAGAUGGCAUCUCUCAUGACACCUGUGAACCUACAGGCAACGAAACUCCUCGAGAAACAUUCAAAGCUCCCUUGGAUCCAGAGAAAGUUAAAUGGAUCAAAAGACGACUUUACGACCGCCGUUUGUUCCUCGGAGACGACGCUGCAACCGCAAACGCAUGUUACCGCAGUGCAGGACGCUUGAUGACUCGAAUUAUCGCCAACGCUUCUCGAUAAACAUACUGCAAAGUAGCGGAUUCGAUUUUAUUCAUGGAUAAUGAUU
This is an RNA transcript of Aedes albopictus (Asian tiger mosquito), 1111 nucleotides long. RefSeq lists it as uncharacterized. Lineage: Eukaryota; Metazoa; Arthropoda; Insecta; Diptera; Culicidae. The record is from RefSeq and is a predicted model, not a curated record. The transcript is spliced from 5 exons.